UGGGGGAUAUUGCACAAUGGGCGAAAGCCUGAUGCAGCGACGCCGCGUGGGGGAUGAAGGCCUUCGGGUUGUAAACUUCUUUUGCUCUGAACAAGGCGCACCAUGGGGUGUGUUGAGUGUAGGGGUUGAUUAGCGCCGGCUAACUACGUGCCAGCAGCCGCGGUAAUACGUAGGGCGCGAGCGUUGUCCGGAAUUAUUGGGCGUAAAGGGCUUGUAGGUGGCUGGUUACGUCUGUCGUGAAAGCUCAUGGCUUAACUGUGGGUUUGCGGUGGGUACGGGCUGGCUUGAGUGCAGGAGGGGAGGCUGGAAUUCCUGGUGUAGCGGUGGAAUGCGCAGAUAUCAGGAGGAAUACCGGUGGCGAAGGCGGGUCUCUGGGCUGUUACUGACACUGAGGAGCGAAAGCAUGGGGAGCGAACAGG
This 419-nucleotide ribosomal RNA is filed under the name bacterium. RNAcentral describes it as "partial 16S ribosomal RNA". It matches the Rfam family "Bacterial small subunit ribosomal RNA", at positions 355 to 776 of the family's 1533-position model. The record is from RNAcentral.